Rosa chinensis is the source of this 2044-nucleotide long non-coding RNA. RefSeq lists it as uncharacterized. The transcript is spliced from 7 exons. Lineage: Eukaryota; Viridiplantae; Streptophyta; Magnoliopsida; Rosales; Rosaceae. The record is from RefSeq and is a predicted model, not a curated record.
AUUCUAAUUUCCCUCUUUUUAAAGUUUGCUAUGAAAACCCACGAGAUUGAGCUGAAAAAAGAAAUGAAAAAAACUCUCCCAAAGCCUGUCUCUCUCGUCCUCCCUCUCUAUCCAUCAUAGCAAACACCCAAAUUCACCUACCCAUGUAAUCCUCGGAUCUUCCACCUUCGAAUUUCCGAUGGCGUUUCCCUACACAAACCUCAUGCUCUCUCUCUCUCUCUCUACCUCUCCCUAGCCCUCUCCGCCUUCAUCCUCGCUAAAUGCCGUCCCAUUGGUGUAAAGGAAUCUGGUCAUCAGAUCUGAGGAAGAAUGUGCAUCUGGUGUUGAAGAAGUGUGAGAGCCCAUCACCACGGUCACCUUCUCGGACUCGACCUUGGCCGCAAUGGUCGUCGCCCAUUUCCUCAUCUCCGCCUGUGCAGAAGGAAGAUAUCUUGCCGAACAAUGAUUUCCAGCCCAUCCGUCCCAUCACUGGAGCCUCUUCGCAAUCCCCAAGUUUUGAUGCUACACCUAAUCUCGGAGGUGGAGGAGGAUCCACUAGGGCUUGGAACUCCCAAGAGUCCAAGUCCAACACCAAUACUCCCAUCAGAGUAAUUAACCCCUCUCUCAGAAUCUCAUUCUUCAUGGUGCUAGUUUCUUAGUUCUAUAUGUAGUGAGAUUUUGCAUAAUCCAUUUUGCUAUUAACUUAAUCGAAAAUUUGUAUGUUAUGCUUCUGGAAGUUGCAAUUAAAUGUUUAGAACUAGAGAACUGUACUGAAUUUCCCUGAGGGCAGUGUGUGAACGAGCAUGAUAAUGUUUUUUAGAGUAUUAAUAUUUACCAUGGUGGAUUUUUACACAUGUUAUUGUUUGAGAGUAGGCUGACUGAAGAUUAUGCUUUUGAGAGUAUUAAUAUUUACCAUGGUGGAUUUUUACACAUGUUUGUAAAAAUUUGAAAAGGUACAGACCAAAAAUCAUAGGGCCUUAUGGUGAUUGUUCUACCCUCUUUAUAUUCCUUUUUCAAAUAUGGCUAUGCGUGCUAGACUUUAAGUAGACGUCGUUGAUGCUACAAUUAUAUCAGAGAUUGACCACACCAUGAAGAAGUAUGCUGAUAAUUUACUUCAAGUUAUGGAAGGUAUUAGUGCACGACUAACACAACUUGAGAGCAGAACCCGCCACCUUGAGAAUUCUGUUGAUGAUUUGAAGGUAUCUGUGGGAAACAAUCAUGGAAAUGCUGAUGGAAAGAUGAGACAAAUGGAGAAUAUUCUUAGAGAUGUGCAAACAGGUGUUCAGGAUUUGAAGGAUAAGCAAUCAAUAGUAGAGGCUCAGAAUCCAAUCUAGCUGAUGUCUUUAAGAUUAUGGAAUGCUUUCUUUCAGGUUGGUAAAUAUGCAAAGGAGAUGACACAACAGAAACCAAUCUAGCUAAAAGAGAGGUUUCUGUUCUUGAAAAUGUGUAUUGGAAGCAACUUGGAAUUAUUGCUAAUGAGUGGCUCAUAAUACUUGGAUUGCAGAUUGCCAAGAUUACGGCUUGUUUUUUUGGCUGAUCCCCAAAAAAACUGCUCUUAUAGAAAUUGAUUUAAUUUAUGUAGAAGUAAAAGUAUUGCUGCCUGAUUUUGGAGGUUGUGCAUAUUGAACAGGGAGAGGUAUGAAGUGGUUUCAAAGAUCUGGCAUACACAGAGUGGGGAACGAGGUCAAAUUUGGUUUACACAGACAAGGAUAUUGAUGAGAUCCGAGUGGAAUGGGCUAAGCAUGUUUUGAAGUUCCCAGAAAAUUAAGUAUCAGCCUAUAUAAAUGCUUUUGUUUCUGGUAGGUUAUGAGCAGUAGUAGUGUCUAGGAACUGCUUUUGUGCAUUUUGACAGAACUGAUGGAAAGUGUUGAACAAAUGCAUGCAGUUGCUGUAACUACUCUAUGGAUGCUACUAGGUUUUUGUCUUAGUUAGAUUAGGAUCCGUGCAACAAUGGCAGUAAUUAAAAUUAGUUAAUGUAAAGGCUAGCAUGCUAGCUAGUUUAGUAUUAUGCUACUGAUGGAAAUGUAUUUUGGUGGGUUAAUUUAUGCAAUGAGGAAUUUGCUGA